This 277-nucleotide ribosomal RNA is filed under the name Lactococcus garvieae. RNAcentral describes it as "partial 16S ribosomal RNA". It matches the Rfam family "Bacterial small subunit ribosomal RNA", at positions 54 to 315 of the family's 1533-position model. The record is from RNAcentral. Lineage: Bacteria; Bacillati; Bacillota; Bacilli; Lactobacillales; Streptococcaceae.
GCCUAUCAUGCAGUCGAGCGAUGAUUAAAGAUAGCUUGCUAUUUUUAUGAAGAGCGGCGAACGGGUGAGUAACGCGUGGGAAAUCUGCCGAGUAGCGGGGGACAACGUUUGGAAACGAACGCUAAUACCGCAUAACAAUGAGAAUCGCAUGAUUCUUAUUUGAAAGAAGCAAUUGCUUCACUACUUGAUGAUCCCGCGUUGUAUUAGCUAGUUGGUAGUGUAAAGGACUACCAAGGCGAUGAUACAUAGCCGACCUGAGAGGGUGAUCGGCCCUGGG